GAUGAAGAACGCAGCGAAAUGCGAUACUUGGUGUGAAUUGCAGAAUCCCGUGAACCAUCGAGUCUUUGAACGCAAGUUGCGCCAGAAGCCAUUAGGCCGAGGGCACGCCUGCCUGGGCGUCACACGCCGUUGCCCCCCCAUCUACUCCUUCGGGAUUGCGGGGGGGCGGAUGAUGGCCUCCCGUGCGCCUAGCCGCGCGGUUGGCAUAAAUACCAAGUCCUCGGCGACGCACGCCACGACAAUCGGUGGUUGCGAAACCUCGGUUGCCCGUCGUGUGCGUUCGUCGCGCAUCGAGGGCUCGAAAAAAUGCUCGGCUCCGGCUGGGCUUUCAACGCGACCCCAGGUCAGGCGGGGUUACCCGCUGAAUUUAAGCAUAUCAAUAAGCGGAGGA
This 391-nucleotide unclassified non-coding RNA is filed under the name soil metagenome. Its description in RNAcentral is "partial contains 5.8S ribosomal RNA, internal transcribed spacer 2, and large subunit ribosomal RNA". The stretch from base 1 to 122 matches the Rfam family "5.8S ribosomal RNA", at positions 35 to 154 of the family's 154-position model. The record is from RNAcentral.